This 253-nucleotide ribosomal RNA is filed under the name uncultured bacterium. Its description in RNAcentral is "partial 16S ribosomal RNA". It matches the Rfam family "Bacterial small subunit ribosomal RNA", at positions 524 to 776 of the family's 1533-position model. The record is from RNAcentral.
UACAGAGACUGCAAGCGUUAUUCGGAUUCACUGGGCGUAAAGGGUGCGCAGGCGGCCAGGUGUGUCAGGUGUGAAAGCCCGGAGCUUAACUCCGGAAUUGCGCCUGAAACUACUUGGCUAGAGCAUUGGAGAGGGUAGCGGAAUUCACGGUGUAGCAGUGAAAUGCGUAGAUAUCGUGAGGAACACCAGAGGCGAAGGCGGCUACCUGGACAAUUGCUGACGCUCGGACACGACAGCAUGGGGAGCGAACGGG